CCCUAGUAACUGCGAGUGAAGCGGGAAAAGCUCAAAUUUAAAAUCUGGCGGUCUCUGGCCGUCCGAGUUGUAAUCUAGAGAAGUAAUGCCCGUGCUGGACCGUGUAUAAGUCUCCUGGGAUGGGGCGUCAUAGAGGGUGAGAAUCCCGUCUUUGACACGGACUACCAGUGCAUUGUGGUAUGCUCUCAAAGAGUCGAGUUGUUUGGGAAUGCAGCUCAAAAUGGGUGGUAAAUUCCAUCUAAAGCUAAAUAUUGGCGAGAGACCGAUAGCGAACAAGUACCGUGAGGGAAAGAUGAAAAGAACUUUGGAAAGAGAGUUAAACAGUACGUGAAAUUGCUGAAAGGGAAACGCUUGAAGUCAGUCGCGUUGGCCGGGGAUCAGCCUCGCUUUUUGCUUGGUGUACUUUCUGGUUGACGGGUCAGCAUCAAUUUUGACUGCUGGAAAAAGACCUGGGGAAUGUGGCAGCUUCGGCUGUGUUAUAGCCCCUAGUCGCAUACAGUGGUUGGGAUUGAGGAACUCAGCACGCCGCAAGGCCGGGUUUCGACCACGUUCGUGCUUAGGAUGCUGGCAUAAUGGCUUUAAGCGACCCGUCUUGAAACACGGACCAAGGAGUCUAACAUGCCUGCGAGUAUUUGGGUGGAAAACCCAAGUGCGUAAUGAAAGUGAAAGUUGAGAUCCCUGUCGUGGGGAGCAUCGACGCCCGGACCAGAACUUUUGGGACGGAUCCGCGGUGGAGCAUGUAUGUUGGGACCCGAAAGAUGGUGAACUAUGCCUGAAUAGGGUGAAGCCAGAGGAAACUCUGGUGGAGGCUCGUAGCGAUUCUGACGUGCAAAUCGAUCGUCAAAUUUGGGUAUAGGGGCGAAAGACUAAUCGAACCAUCUAGUAGCUGGUUCCUGC
RNAcentral lists this ribosomal RNA (897 nucleotides) under Agaricus floridanus. Its description in RNAcentral is "LSU rRNA". It matches the Rfam family "Eukaryotic large subunit ribosomal RNA", at positions 78 to 961 of the family's 3401-position model. Lineage: Eukaryota; Fungi; Basidiomycota; Agaricomycetes; Agaricales; Agaricaceae. The record is from RNAcentral.